Molecule: long non-coding RNA, 1682 nt
Organism: Xyrauchen texanus (razorback sucker)
Lineage: Eukaryota; Metazoa; Chordata; Actinopteri; Cypriniformes; Catostomidae
Exons: 3
Source: RefSeq, a predicted model, not a curated record
GUGACAGAUGAUGUUCAUGGUUUGACUUUCUACUCUGUGUUUUUGUGCUCGAGUCGUGUCAAUAUAUAUAUAAUAGAUCAGGAUUCUUCUACACAACAGAUGAUGUGAAUGUUUCUGCACUUCACUCAUUUAUUCAAGUGUCUGCUGAUCUCAGACCUGUACAAACACAAUCUUAUGUAUCACAGACUGUUAAACAUGAGAAAAGCACAUCAAGAUCUCUUCUGGAAGACUGUCUGAGACACGUUCAACUCAACUUUCAGCAUUUACGAUUGAAAAUGAAGCAAAACUUUAAAAAACCUCUCAAAAUCAAAAACUGGACAAAAGAAACUUUUUUACUUUCUAAACCGAAGACAUGCAUGAACCGUUCAAUGUGUGAAUGAACUCACUCACAGACGCUUAUAUAGUAACAGGGCGUAUCAGAGGGGGCGUGGCGUGUUCAAUAAAGUUCAUUUGGGAACUUCCAGUUACGAAACACCUCUCAUCUCUCGUGUCAUCAUGAGCUGUUGAAUAUGCUGCAGAGGGCGGGAACAUCAUUAUAUAAGUGUGUUUGACCACAUGACGUUACAGCUAACUGGGCGUCUACUGGGAGAAUAUUAUUUAUAUGAUUACAGACUGUUGUGGAUAUCUCUACAUGAAUAUUGUAAAUCACUGUUAAACUUGUUUUUAAUAACACGUGUGUGUGGAUAAAUAUUCAAGAGAUGUUGAUUUGAGUGAUUUAUAGUCAUUAAUGCAUGAAACAUGUUCAUUUAUACUGUAUAUAUUUAUUAUCACACUGAUUCAUAUCAAAUGAGCUGACAGUGUUAUUUACUGUAUAAAUGUGUAAACACAACAUCAUAAUAAUAUUAAUUAAGCUAAUAUUUUACUCAUUUGCAUUAAAGAAGACUGUGAUGUCAUCUGAACUCUCUUGCAGCUUCUCUUCUCCCUAAUUAUCACCCUCCAAAUCCAGAUUAUAGUUUAAACCUCCUAAACUGGGGGGAGGAGCCUCAAAUCAUACAGACACCUAGAGAGAGAGAGAGAGAGAGAGAGAGAGAGAGAGAGAGAGAGAGAGAGAGAGAGAGAGGCUUUGGCAAUACAAAAUGUACUUUUGUCAUGCCAAUAAAGCAAAUUAAAUGUAAUUGUAUUGAGAGAAAGAAAGAGAGAGAGAGAGAGAGAGAGAGAGAGAGAGAGAAAGAGAGACACACAGAGAGAGAGAUUUGACCACCCCCAAGUGUGCUUACUUAUGGAUAACUUCAUAGAAUAUGAUUAUCCUCAUAAUGAAGAUCUGGCUGUAGAAAACAUCAAUUACAUAUUUGAUUAUCUGGCAACAAUAUCUAAUCUUAAAACCACUAAGAAAAAUCACAAGCAAACACAAAUGAUUGAAAAAUGGUUUGAUCCGGAUUGUAAAAGAAUAAAGACAAAUUUAAGACAGCUUGCAAAUCAAAAACACAGACAGCCAGACGAUUCAGAUUUACGUCUUCAUUAUUGUGAGGAGCUUAAAAAAUAUAAAAAUACACUCAGAAAGAAGAAAGAACAGUACAUCCAAAAUCAGCUCCAAACUAUUGAAGAAUCAGUCCAUUCAAACAGUUUCUGGGACAACAGAAGACCUGAAGUGAAGCCUUCUGAUCCCCGAACACACUUACAAGAAAACCGUUCUGGGUUAUUCGGAAGCAGCUGUGGCCGAUCACUCAAUCUCACACUGGUGA